RNAcentral lists this unclassified non-coding RNA (170 nucleotides) under uncultured Sebacina. RNAcentral describes it as "sequence contains ITS1". Lineage: Eukaryota; Fungi; Basidiomycota; Agaricomycetes; Sebacinales; Sebacinaceae. The record is from RNAcentral.
AUGAUUGCGAAUGGUUGCCUUCGGUGCUGGCUCUUGCAAGUGCACGUUGGUGGCUUUCAUCCAAUACCCUUUGUGAACCUUUGGCCUCUUGCUAGCUUCGGCUGGCAGAGGAUUUUUACACACACACUCGAAUGUAAUGAAAACUAUUGUCGUGCGCAAGCACUAAUGUA